Molecule: ribosomal RNA, 1157 nt
Filed under: Dothideomycetes sp. genotype 685 JMUR-2016
Lineage: Eukaryota; Fungi; Ascomycota; Dothideomycetes
Description: eukaryotic LSU rRNA
Rfam family: Eukaryotic large subunit ribosomal RNA (bases 611-1157)
Source: RNAcentral
AACCCCUUCUGGGGGGCGGCGGUAGCGGUCAGCCGGCCUCGAGCGUCACCUAGGGCGGGUCGUCAUGACCCCCGCGAGGGGGGAAGCGGCGAGAGCCGCACCCGCCCACAGGUGGACCUCGAUCGUCCCGUGCAGUUGGAGGCGGGUACCCGUCCGUCCGCGAAUCCCGAACACCUUCUACCCCUGAUUAUGAGAACCUCACCGUUUCCUCGGCGGGCUCGCCCGCCGGUGGACACCAACCAACUUCUUUGCAGUCUAGCAGUGCCUGUCUGACAUAAAAUAGCAAAUAAUCAAAACUUUCAACGACGGAUCUCUUGGUUCUGGCAUCGAUGAAGAACGCAGCGAAAUGCGAUAAGUAGUGUGAAUUGCAGAAUUCAGUGAAUCAUCGAAUCUUUGAACGCACAUUGCGCCCUUUGGUAUUCCGAAGGGCAUGCCUGUUCGAGCGUCAUUUGACCCCUCAAGCUCUGCUUGGUGUUGGGCGUUUGUCCCGCCUCUUUCGGCGCGGACUCGUCUUGAAGUCAUUGGCGCCGACGAGCCGUACCGGAGCGCAGCAGAUGAGGCGCUUUCCCGGGGCGGCCCGCCGGCCACCGCGAAGUAAAACCCACGCUCUUGACCUCGGAUCAGGUAGGGAUACCCGCUGAACUUAAGCAUAUCAAUAAGCGGAGGAAAAGAAACCAACAGGGAUUGCCCUAGUAACGGCGAGUGAAGCGGCAACAGCUCAAAUUUGAAAUCUGGUCUCUUCGGUGGCCCGAGUUGUAAUUUGCAGAGGGCGCUUCGGCGGCGGCCCCGGCCUAAGUUCCUUGGAACAGGACGUCACAGAGGGUGAGAAUCCCGUACGUGGUUGUCGGCCAACGCCAUGUGAAGCCCCUUCGACGAGUCGAGUUGUUUGGGAAUGCAGCUCUAAAUGGGAGGUAAAUUUCUUCUAAAGCUAAAUACUGGCCAGAGACCGAUAGCGCACAAGUAGAGUGAUCGAAAGAUGAAAAGCACUUUGGAAAGAGAGUCAAAAAGCACGUGAAAUCGUUGAAAGGGAAGCGCUUGCAGCCAGACGUGCCCGCGGAUGCUCAUCCAGGCUCUUGCCUGGUGCACUCUUCCGCGGGCAGGCCAGCAUCAGCUCUGGCGGUCGGAUAAAGGCUUCGGGAACGUAGCUCCCCUCGGGG